GCUGCGCUAAUACCGCAUACGAUCUAUGGAUGAAAGCGGGGGACCAUAAGGCCUCGCGCGAUUGGAGCGGCCGAUGUCAGAUUAGGUAGUUGGUGGGGUAAAGGCUCACCAAGCCAACGAUCUGUAGCUGGUCUGAGAGGACGACCAGCCACACUGGGACUGAGACACGGCCCAGACUCCUACGGGAGGCAGCAGUGGGGAAUUUUGGACAAUGGGCGCAAGCCUGAUCCAGCAAUGCCGCGUGCAGGAAGAAGGCCUUCGGGUUGUAAACUGCUUUUGUACGGAACGAAACGGUCUGGGUUAAUACCUCGGGCUAAUGACGGUACCGUAAGAAUAAGCACCGGCUAACUACGUGCCAGCAGCCGCGGUAAUACGUAGGGUGCAAGCGUUAAUCGGAAUUACUGGGCGUAAAGCGUGCGCAGGCGGUUUUGUAAGACAGGCGUGAAAUCCCCGGGCUCAACCUGGGAAUGGCGCUUGUGACUGCAAGGCUGGAGUGCGGCAGAGGGGGGAUGGAAUUCCGCGUGUAGCAGUGAAAUGCGUAGAUAUGCGGAGGAACACCGAUGGCGAAGGCAAUCCCCUGGGCCUGCACUGACGCUCAUGCACGAAAGCGUGGGGAGCAA
Molecule: ribosomal RNA, 620 nt
Filed under: uncultured bacterium
Lineage: Bacteria
Description: bacterial SSU rRNA
Rfam family: Bacterial small subunit ribosomal RNA
Source: RNAcentral